GGAGAGGUGGCAGAGUGGUCGAAUGCGGCACACUGCUAACGUGUUAACCCCCAAAAAGGGUUCGCGGGUUCGAAUCCCGCCCUCUCCG
This 88-nucleotide transfer RNA is filed under the name Candidatus Buchananbacteria bacterium. Its description in RNAcentral is "tRNA-Ser". It matches the Rfam family "tRNA". Rfam says of the family: Transfer RNA (tRNA) molecules are approximately 80 nucleotides in length. Their secondary structure includes four short double-helical elements and three loops (D, anti-codon, and T loops). Lineage: Bacteria; Candidatus Buchananiibacteriota. The record is from RNAcentral.